AGAGCAUUUACUCAAACACUUUGCGAGCGCUCUUUCUGUUGUUCUUUUGCUUAGCUUCUUUUGGCAUAAAUCACUUCCGCUGUUCAAUUGGUGCCUUGGAGGAGUUCUUAAAGAAUCCUCAUUGAGAUAAGGCUGACUUGGGCGAGUUUGGAGCAAACGGAUCGCCUAAGGCCGCAUGGAUUACGAGACGAAAGGUCUAGCCCCGUGACAAGUGGUAUCCGAGCCAAGGUUUGAACCAAGUGAUAUCUGAGUUGUUGGUUCAAAGGCACCGUUGGGAUGUCGAAAGAAAAGUUCGAACAAAGGUGGGCGAGGAAGUUUUUGAGGGAAAUGUUGUCAGCUGUUGAAGAACGCGUGGGUAAACUUGAGAAGUCCAUGGAGGACGCCAAAGAGUCAGACAAUGCGCUUGGGGAAAGCAUUGAUGACUUGAGGGAGCAGUCCAGGGACUGUUUGACCAUGGGUCUUACUUCCCAAAGGGAUAGCGUGCAAGAGUUGCUGGAUUCCCAAAGGAAGAAGCUGACAGAGAGGAAUGAUGCUCUCGAGGCCAUGAUGAUGGCUUUGAAGGAGGAAACAAUUGCCACGACGAGGGCUUUGAGCACAAGAAUAGAGGAGCUCGAGGGAGAGCUGGCCUUGUGUCAAGUAGCCGUGGGGAAAGGAGGGUCAAGUGCAGCACUCAGUAAUGAGGAUGUCCCAAAGCCGAAAGAGUUUGCGGGGACAAGAUCUGCAUGCGAUGUGGACAAUUUCUUGUGGAGGAUGGAGCACUACUUCCGUGCCAAAGGCAUCAUGGAUGAUGCGGUUAAGGUAAAUACUGCUUCAAUGUUUCUUACUAACAUUGCGCUUUUAUGGUGGCGACGUAGGACCAUAGAUAAAAGGCAAGGAGAGAUUGGGACGUCGCAGGAGUUCCAAUGCGAAUUGAAGGGACAGUUUUACCCAGAGUUUGCCGAGGAAGAAGCUUCGACAAAGUUACAAGGGAUAACGCAACAAGGCACAGUGGGGGAGUAUGUUCGAGAGUUCAAGGAACUCAUGCUCUAAGUUUCAGAUGUGACCGAUGAAGAAGCAUUGCUUGCUUUUCAAAAGGGAUUGAAGCCGUGGGUCAGACAGGAGGUGGAAGAAAGAGGUGUCCAAAAGCUGUCGGAAGCCAUGAUGGUAGUUGAAUCCAUGGUGAAGCUUGGUCAAGGGAAAGACAAGCUUAGGUCUUCCAAGUCCGAGGGAAGGGGCGUAUGUGAAAUGGAUCACAAGGAAGAUAGUAUAGAUGGCAAUGGCAACGGCGACAAUGGUGGUAAUAGGAAGCUACGAGUUGGGAAGAAGAAACCCAAGAGGAAAAGGGACAAGCUGAAAUGCUUUCUGUGCGACGGUCCACAUAUGUUGAAGAAGUGUCCAAAGAAAUCCGCGCUUAAGGAGAAGCCGGUAGGUAAGGCCGUGGUACUUGGUUCGAGCGCUAGGGGUGUCGAAGCCAAGGAGGCCGAAUGUGAGAAGAAGCCAGUAGAGUGCUUCUUGUGCCAGGGUCCGCAUAGGUUGCGGAAGUGUCCGAAGAAGUCUGUCAUCGAAGGUAACGAUGGAGCAGACAAGGAGCCUAAGAAGUUUGGUUCGAGCAAAGGGAAAAGCCGAAGCCAAGAGGGCAAAGAGGAGCAAAAAGAAGCGAGUAAAGUACUUCUUGUGCUGUGGUCCGCAUGAGUUGCGGAAUUGUCCAAAGCAAGCCGGAGUCAAAGAAAAGGCAACGUCUGAGCUUGGUGAGUUGUCGGAGGGGCUUCCACCCAAGGAAGAGGUGAGUUUGUCAUCGAACUUAGUAGAGAAAGUUGCGAUGAAAACAGGGAAGCUGGGACCAAUGAGGCUCAAGUUGAGUGAAGCGUCAGAGUUGGCCGAGUCAUCGACAAGGCUUCCACCUAUGGGAGAGGUGGGUGGUGCAUCGGAUUUCAAUGAAAAGGAAGCGAUGCAUGUGGGACAGUUGACCAGAGUAAAUGCAACGAGUAGGGCAGCUCGAGUUAAGAAGCGACAAAAGCCGAGGCAAAAGUCCCAAAUAAAGGGAAAGGCUAAGGCGUCGAGACGAGAUUGAGACGAAUCAAGUCAGUACCAUUCAGAAGUCGCAACGAGGGCGUUACGAGAAUGGGUGGGGGAGAAUGUCACGGGCCACAGUUCAAAGCCCGUGACCAUCACACCAAAUGCAUCCAAUGGAGGUCUAUUGCUCAGAUGGAGAUCAUUUGGCCCACGAGAACUGGCCCGAUUCAAUGAGAUAUUGGAGAAGCCUGUCAGAUUGAAGCCUGGUUGGCCCGAUAGCGAAGAGAUGGCAACUUAGGCUAAUAUGGUAACUAAUCUUAGAAGAUAGAGAGAAUCAUAUCUUGUAAAGAUUAGAUUAGAUUUGAUAUGGCAUAUCUUGUAAAUCCCUAAAAUAAAGGGAUAUGGUUAAUCUCGUCCGUCGAUGUAUUUGUAUCUUAACUGUUGGUUUUAGAGGAGCUCAACUAUAAAUAGAGAGCUUCCCCCUCAUUUGUACUCACUCCUGAAUUGUUUCAUUAUUCCUUGUGAAUAAGAGAAGUAGAGAGCAUUUACUCAAACACUUUGCGAGCGCUCUUUCUGUUGUUCUUUUGCUUAGCUUCUUUUGGCAUAAAUCGCUUCCGCUGUUCAAUUGGUGCCUUGGAGGAAUUCUUAAAGAAUCCUCAUUGAGAUAAGGCUGACUUGGGCGAGUUUGGAGCAAACGGAUCGCCUAAGGCCACACGGAUUGCGAGACGAAAGGUCUAGCCCCGUGACAUAAGAAUAUGGUUCCUCAUACCCCCCAACUGAAUUAUUAUCAAGCUUCUCCUCUAAACUACACCAGUAACACCCAAUUUGAUCACUAUCAAACAAACACUGAGAUAAGUAUCAAUAUUUCGGAUGUACGAAGAGUAAACUUUAACCCUCUUCAAAUUAUUUACCUAAUCACUCAAAAAAUGUUUCUGGUUUCAAUAGUUUGGGAAGUCUAAUUGUACCUGGUUGGUAAAAAAGGUGAGAUUCACCGAACAUAAUACCAGCUUCAAGGUAAUAAUAAAGUCCUUACCAACUAGUAUUAAGCUGGUCAUAAAAAUACAGCAAAAUCAUUUCUACAACUAUAAUCUACUAUUGUUUAUAUUAUGCCCUUUACAGGUAGGACACUAGCACCUUUAGGGGGCAAAAAGAAU
Molecule: long non-coding RNA, 3146 nt
Filed under: Gossypium barbadense (sea-island cotton)
Lineage: Eukaryota; Viridiplantae; Streptophyta; Magnoliopsida; Malvales; Malvaceae
Description: long non-coding RNA (GBAR_LNC021860)
Source: RNAcentral